GCCGCUUUAUCCCACGACCUCGCCGGCGACGGUCCCAUCGUCUCACCCGUUGCCCCUUCUCCUCUGCUUCAGGCGGCGGCGUGGCCCUUCUCGACCUUGUUCUCGCCCCUCAUCCACCAUACCGUCAACGGAUGGUGUUGUCCCCUUCACCGUCGAGCUGCUUCUUCUUUCACCUUCCCGAAUCGAGGGUUUCUGCAACGGCCGUCGAGCUUCCUCGUCAUUCACCUCCCCGAAUCAAGGGUUUCUGACCUUCUGUGGAUGUCGUCUGAUCCGUCAGACAUGGAUAGAAGCAAACAUGCCUAUGUUCCUGCUGCAACAGACGGACUGUACAUCUCAUGGAUGAGAUUGAGUUUUCGGAAAUAGUCGAUGGAUGGCUAUGUACCUUGGUUGCUGAACCAGUGGAAUUGGCUGAGGUAUUUCUUGCUGCUGUCCGAAGUGCAGAACGGUAGAAAAUAUGAACGCUGGCGCCAAGUGCUAGUUAUGCAUGGUCUUCUUGUUGUUUUUGAUCUCUCAUUAUGGCCUGUGCUGUAAAGUGCCUCCAAUCUGGUUGUUGAUGCCAGUACCAGCCUUUCUCUGAGAUGCCUGACAUGCAAAGUUGACGCAGCUGCAUGGUUUUAGGAAUCCAAUGCCGACAUCGAGGAGCUAGAAUUCCAAGUUCCUGGGCCAUUGUACGGGUGAUCCGACCCUGCUACUCAACUACUUUCAAGAAACCAUGGGUCUGUAGAAAUAUCGUGAUUCUAAAGCUUCAAAAACAGUGGCUUCUGCUGAUUAGAACAGAUCUCUUCAUGCUGCAAGUCGUCCGCAGAACCCAGGACGGGGAGGUUCAUGAUUAGUCUCAGAAACAAGACCUAUCCCAUCAAUCUUUCUUCGGCAGUACUACAAAACAUGAUAUGGAGCAGAAGUGUGCAGCUGGCGGAGAACAAAGCUCACAUGGAUGAUCUACGUCCUCUGAACUACAGCAGAGAGGCUCAGUUCUGCUGAUGCUUUCGCCGGAUCUCAUUAAUAGCGAUUGCAAUUCGUGGUAUUCCAUUUAGUGGUCAGAUCAAGAUUGCAGUGAGGAUCUGUUACUUGUGAGCUUCUUUUGGAGAUAGGAUCCGGAGAAACUUCACUUGGAUUCAAGCAGCUCCAUAGCAUAUCAUGAACAACAGCUAACAGAAUUUAUUUGUUGAUGAGAUGUUAGAACUUUUGUUCGGGCCAAGCUGUGGCUAAAAACUAGAUUAAAGUGCAGUGGUAGAAGACUUAGCAAGAAACGUGAGAGCAUUUAGAAGAUUGGUGCUGUGAUCGGCCGUAGUGGCAUGGCAGUGCAGCUUUUGCCCGGCGAUCAUCCAAGACUUUGAUCGGCCAUUCUCUCGCCAAAUCCUUCGUCCCCCAACACCAAGUUUUCCUUUUCUUCUUCUCAAGGAGAGAAAAAUAUAAAAAGGGUUUUAGAAGUCGAUUGCUCAUUCGGGUUUCUUCAACUUUGGAACUCUGGCACUGUUCGUAGCAUAGUUUACCUUCUCUCUAUAUACAUCAUGGCUAAAAAGGUAUCUACUCUCA
Long non-coding RNA from Musa acuminata subsp. malaccensis (wild Malaysian banana), 1536 nucleotides. RefSeq lists it as uncharacterized. Lineage: Eukaryota; Viridiplantae; Streptophyta; Magnoliopsida; Zingiberales; Musaceae. The record is from RefSeq and is a predicted model, not a curated record.